This 465-nucleotide ribosomal RNA is filed under the name Vreelandella stevensii. RNAcentral's name for it is "partial 16S ribosomal RNA". It matches the Rfam family "Bacterial small subunit ribosomal RNA", at positions 338 to 795 of the family's 1533-position model. Lineage: Bacteria; Pseudomonadati; Pseudomonadota; Gammaproteobacteria; Oceanospirillales; Halomonadaceae. The record is from RNAcentral.
CCUACGGGGGGCUGCAGUGGGGAAUAUUGGACAAUGGGGGGAACCCUGAUCCAGCCAUGCCGCGGGUGUGAAGAAGGCCCUCGGGUUGUAAAGCACUUUCAGUGAGGAAGAACGCCUGGUGGUUAAUACCCAUCAGGAAAGACAUCACUCACAGAAGAAGCACCGGCUAACUCCGUGCCAGCAGCCGCGGUAAUACGGAGGGUGCGAGCGUUAAUCGGAAUUACUGGGCGUAAAGCGCGCGUAGGUGGCUUGAUAAGCCGGUUGUGAAAGCCCCGGGCUCAACCUGGGAACGGCAUCCGGAACUGUCAAGUUAGAGGGCAGGAGAGGAAGGUAGAAUUCCCGGUGUAGCGGUGAAAUGCGUAGAGAUCGGGAGGAAUACCAGUGGCGAAGGCGGCCUUCUGGACUGACACUGACACUGAGGUGCGAAAGCGUGGGUAGCAAACAGGAUUAGAUACCCCAGUAGUC